Molecule: long non-coding RNA, 375 nt
Filed under: Androctonus crassicauda
Lineage: Eukaryota; Metazoa; Arthropoda; Arachnida; Scorpiones; Buthidae
Source: RNAcentral
CCAUAAAACAUCCUGGUGAUAAAGGAGAGAAAAAUGUUCAGUUUGGUUUUCCGGAAACUGCGCUUCAAAUUUUGCUGUACUAUAGAGCUCAGAAGGACCCGCUGCGCUCUCGUUUGCCUGCCUGAUUCCACGGUGGUUGUGCUGAUGGCGACGCUUUUACGUUGUUCCCUUGGUGUUGGAACCGCUCUCUUUUGCAGCCCCGUUUCCCAAGUACUGUUCAAGUUACAUGUUUGUAAACUCCGUGGCACGCUGGGUGCAGUGCCCACGUUGCUGCUGCGUAAGACUCUGUAUUUGGAUGCCAAUCCACAGGCCUGAUGAAAUCGCUUGUUGUGUAUCAGUAAUCAUUAGUGGCAAUGAUGACAUUCUGAAAUGCUG